GGGAAUGUAGCUAAGAGGUAAGGCAUAGGGAGCAUAUAAGCAACCUAUUAGCAUUGGUUCGAAUCCAAUCAUUCCUU
This 77-nucleotide transfer RNA is filed under the name Fusobacterium sp. RNAcentral's name for it is "tRNA-OTHER". It matches the Rfam family "tRNA". Rfam says of the family: Transfer RNA (tRNA) molecules are approximately 80 nucleotides in length. Their secondary structure includes four short double-helical elements and three loops (D, anti-codon, and T loops). Lineage: Bacteria; Fusobacteriati; Fusobacteriota; Fusobacteriia; Fusobacteriales; Fusobacteriaceae. The record is from RNAcentral.